GGGUUGUGAGGUUAAGCGACUAAGCGUACACGGUGGAUGCCCUGGCAGUCAGAGGCGAUGAAGGGCGUGCUAAUCUGCGAUAAGCGCCGGUAAGGUGAUAUGAACCGUUAUAACCGGCGAUACCCGAAUGGGGAAACCCAGUGUGAUUCGUCACACUAUCAUUAACUGAAUCCAUAGGUUAAUGAGGCGAACCGGGGAACUGAAACAUCUAAGUACCCCGAGGAAAAGAAAUCAACCGAGAUUCCCCCAGUAGCGGCGAGCGAACGGGGAGGAGCCCAGAGCCUGAAUCAGCAUGUGUGUUAGUGGAAGCGUCUGGAAAGGCGCGCGAUACAGGGUGACAGCCCCGUACACAAAAGCGCAUGUGCUGUGAGCUCGAUGAGUAGGGCGGGACACGUGGUAUCCUGUCUGAAUAUGGGGGGACCAUCCUCCAAGGCUAAAUACUCCUGACUGACCGAUAGUGAACCAGUACCGUGAGGGAAAGGCGAAAAGAACCCCGGCGAGGGGAGUGAAAAAGAACCUGAAACCGUGUACGUACAAGCAGUGGGAGCCCCACCACUAAGCCAGUGGUGAACUCCACAUACGCAUCCUUUGCUGAGGAUACGGUUAACGGAGCGAAAGCGACGUUCAACCGCAAAAGAAGCAGAGGGGGCUUAGUGGUGGGGUGACUGCGUACCUUUUGUAUAAUGGGUCAGCGACUUAUAUUCUGUAGCAAGGUUAACCGAAUAGGGGAGCCGGAGGGAAACCGAGUCUUAAUUGGGCGUUAAGUUGCAGGGUAUAGACCCGAAACCCGGUGAUCUAGCCAUGGGCAGGUUGAAGGUUGGGUAACACUAACUGGAGGACCGAACCGACUAAUGUUGAAAAAUUAGCGGAUGACCUGUGGCUGGGGGUGAAAGGCCAAUCAAACCGGGAGAUAGCUGGUUCUCCCCGAAAGCUAUUUAGGUAGCGCCUCGUGAACUCAUCUCCGGGGGUAGAGCACUGUUUCGGCUAGGGGCCAUCCCGGCUUACCAACCCGAUGCAAACUGCGAAUACCGGAGAAUGUUAUCACGGGAGACACACGGCGGGUGCUAACGUCCGUCGUGAAGAGGGAAACAACCCAGACCGCCAGCUAAGGUCCCAAAGUCAUGGUUAAGUGGGAAACGAUGUGGGAAGGCCCAGACAGCCAGGAUGUUGGCUUAGAAGCAGCCAUCAUUUAAAGAAAGCGUAAUAGCUCACUGGUCGAGUCGGCCUGCGCGGAAGAUGUAACGGGGCUAAACCAUGCACCGAAGCUGCGGCAGCGAACGUAUCACUUAAAGCGAUUCAGCGGGUUACGAUUGACGGAGCGAAGCGACGUCAAAGCGUAUACAAAGUCGAGUCGGUUUAAGGAUACGUUCGUUGGGUAGGGAGCGUUCUGUAAGCCUGCGAAGGUGGCCUGUGAGGGUUGCUGGAGGUAUCAGAAGUGCGAAUGCUGACAUAAGUAACGAUAAAGCGGGUGAAAAGCCCGCUCGCCGGAAGACCAAGGGUUCCUGUCCAACGUUAAUCGGGGCAGGGUGAGUCGAUCCUAAGGCGAGGCCGAAAGGCGUAGUCGAUGGGAAACGGGUUAAUAUUCCCGUACUUGGUGUUACUGCGAAGGGGGGACGGAGAAGGCUAUGUUGGCCGGGCGACGGUUGUCCCGGUUUAAGCGUGUAGGUGUGUGUUCCAGGUAAAUCCGGUUCACUUUAACACUGAGGCGUGAUGACGAGGCACUACGGUGCUGAAGCAACAAAUGCCCUGCUUCCAGGAAAAGCCUCUAAGCAUCAGGUAACAUCAAAUCGUACCCCAAACCGACACAGGUGGUCAGGUAGAGAAUACCAAGGCGCUUGAGAGAACUCGGGUGAAGGAACUAGGCAAAAUGGUGCCGUAACUUCGGGAGAAGGCACGCUGACACGUAGGUGAAGUGAUUUACUCAUGGAGCUGAAGUCAGUCGAAGAUACCAGCUGGCUGCAACUGUUUAUUAAAAACACAGCACUGUGCAAACACGAAAGUGGACGUAUACGGUGUGACGCCUGCCCGGUGCCGGAAGGUUAAUUGAUGGGGUCAGCGCAAGCGAAGCCCCUGAUCGAAGCCCCGGUAAACGGCGGCCGUAACUAUAACGGUCCUAAGGUAGCGAAAUUCCUUGUCGGGUAAGUUCCGACCUGCACGAAUGGCGUAAUGAUGGCCAGGCUGUCUCCACCCGAGACUCAGUGAAAUUGAACUCGCUGUGAAGAUGCAGUGUACCCGCGGCAAGACGGAAAGACCCCGUGAACCUUUACUAUAGCUUGACACUGAACAUUGAGCCUUGAUGUGUAGGAUAGGUGGGAGGCUUUGAAGUGUGGACGCCAGUCUGCAUGGAGCCGACCUUGAAAUACCACCCUUUAAUGUUUGAUGUUCUAACGUGGACCCGUUACCCGGGUUGCGGACAGUGUCUGGUGGGUAGUUUGACUGGGGCGGUCUCCUCCUAAAGAGUAACGGAGGAGCACGAAGGUUGGCUAAUCCUGGUCGGACAUCAGGAGGUUAGUGCAAUGGCAUAAGCCAGCUUGACUGCGAGCGUGACGGCGCGAGCAGGUGCGAAAGCAGGUCAUAGUGAUCCGGUGGUUCUGAAUGGAAGGGCCAUCGCUCAACGGAUAAAAGGUACUCCGGGGAUAACAGGCUGAUACCGCCCAAGAGUUCAUAUCGACGGCGGUGUUUGGCACCUCGAUGUCGGCUCAUCACAUCCUGGGGCUGAAGUAGGUCCCAAGGGUAUGGCUGUUCGCCAUUUAAAGUGGUACGCGAGCUGGGUUUAGAACGUCGUGAGACAGUUCGGUCCCUAUCUGCCGUGGGCGCUGGAGAACUGAGGGGGGCUGCUCCUAGUACGAGAGGACCGGAGUGGACGCAUCACUGGUGUUCGGGUUGUCAUGCCAAUGGCACUGCCCGGUAGCUAAAUGCGGAAGAGAUAAGUGCUGAAAGCAUCUAAGCACGAAACUUGCCCCGAGAUGAGUUCUCCCUGAGACUUAGAGUCUCCUGAAGGAACGUUGAAGACGACGACGUUGAUAGGCCGGGUGUGUAAGCGCAGCGAUGCGUUGAGCUAACCGGUACUAAUGAACCGUGAGGCUUAACCUUACAACGCCGAAG
This 3105-nucleotide ribosomal RNA is filed under the name Salmonella enterica subsp. enterica serovar Adjame. Its description in RNAcentral is "23S ribosomal RNA". It matches the Rfam family "Bacterial large subunit ribosomal RNA". Lineage: Bacteria; Pseudomonadati; Pseudomonadota; Gammaproteobacteria; Enterobacterales; Enterobacteriaceae. The record is from RNAcentral.